RNAcentral lists this non-coding RNA (31 nucleotides) under Homo sapiens (human). Lineage: Eukaryota; Metazoa; Chordata; Mammalia; Primates; Hominidae. The record is from RNAcentral.
UGCCUGAAGCUAGUCUGCUGGAUUACUCCUU